RNAcentral lists this ribosomal RNA (465 nucleotides) under uncultured bacterium. Its description in RNAcentral is "partial 16S ribosomal RNA". It matches the Rfam family "Bacterial small subunit ribosomal RNA", at positions 338 to 795 of the family's 1533-position model. The record is from RNAcentral.
CCUACGGGUGGCAGCAGUAGGGAAUCUUCCACAAUGGACGAAAGUCUGAUCGAGCAAUGCCGCGUGAGUGAAGAAGGCUUUCGGGUCGUAAAGCUCUGUUGGUAGGGAAGAAAGAAAGCGUUAGUGACUGGCUUUUAUCUGACGGUAAUCCGUUAGAAAGUCACGGCUAACUACGUGCCAGCAGCCGCGGUAAUACGUGGGUGGCAAGCGUUGUCCGGAUUUAUUGGGCGUAAAAGGAGUGCAGGCGGUCCGAUAAGUCUGAAGUGAAGCGCUUGGGCUCAACCCGAGAAUUGCAUUAGAAACUGUUGGACUUGAGAGCAGGAGAGGGGGGUGGAACUCGAUGUGUAGCGGUGGAAUGCGUAGAUAUAUGGAAGAACACCAGUGGCGAAGGCGGCUGUCUGGUCUGCGACUGACGCUGAGGCUCGAAAGCAUGGGUAGCGAACAGGAUUAGAUACCCGGGUAGUC